This 549-nucleotide ribosomal RNA is filed under the name uncultured Glomeromycotina. RNAcentral's name for it is "SSU rRNA". It matches the Rfam family "Eukaryotic small subunit ribosomal RNA", at positions 548 to 1098 of the family's 1831-position model. Lineage: Eukaryota; Fungi; Glomeromycota. The record is from RNAcentral.
UUGGAGGGCAAGUCUGGUGCCAGCAGCCGCGGUAAUUCCAGCUCCAAUAGCGUAUAUUAAAGUUGUUGCAGUUAAAAAGCUCGUAGUUGAAUUUCGGGGUUAGUAGGUUGGUCAUGCCUCUGGUAUGUACUGGUCUCACUGAUUCCUCCUUCCUGAUGAACCGUAAUGCCAUUAAUUUGGUGUUGCGGGGAAUUUGGACUGUUACUUUGAAAAAAUUAGAGUGUUUAAAGCAAGCUAACGCUUGAAUACAUUAGCAUGGAAUAAUGAAAUAGGACGUUCGAUCCUAUUUUGUUGGUUUCUAGGAUUGACGUAAUGAUUAAUAGGGAUAGUUGGGGGCAUUAGUAUUCAAUUGUCAGAGGUGAAAUUCUUGGAUUUAUUGAAGACUAACUACUGCGAAGGCAUUUGCCAAGGAUGUUUUCAUUAAUCAAGAACGAAAGUUAGGGGAUCGAAGACGAUCAGAUACCGUCGUAGUCUUAACCAUAAACUAUGCCGACUAGGGAUCGGAUGAUGUUAAUUUUAUAAUGACUCAUUCGGCGCCUUACGGGAAAC